Molecule: microRNA precursor, 69 nt
Filed under: Caenorhabditis elegans
Lineage: Eukaryota; Metazoa; Nematoda; Chromadorea; Rhabditida; Rhabditidae
Description: Cel-Mir-36-P8_pre stem-loop
Source: RNAcentral
UGUGGGUGUUUGCUUUUUCGGUGAAGUUGUCUUCCGUAGCUUCUUCUUCACCGGGUUAACAUCUACAGA